This 1700-nucleotide ribosomal RNA is filed under the name Salmonella enterica subsp. enterica serovar Uganda str. R8-3404. RNAcentral's name for it is "partial large subunit ribosomal RNA". The record is from RNAcentral. Lineage: Bacteria; Pseudomonadati; Pseudomonadota; Gammaproteobacteria; Enterobacterales; Enterobacteriaceae.
AUGCCCUUUUUUUACGCCAGCAGCUUUUGCAAAUGAAUUAACAACCUGUCUAUCGCCCGAUAGCUUACCGCCUCCUGCAAAUGCUGACGCGAGAUCUGGUCAGCCAGUUCUAUGUCGGCAAUGGUUCUGGCCACUUUUAGUAAACGCUGCCAGGCGCGAAUGGAUAACCCAAGAUGCACCAGCGUGUCUUCAAGCCAGCGGGCGUCAUCGUGAUGCAAAACACAGUAUUUUUGGAUUUCGCGACCCUCCAGACGCGCGUUUAACUUCUUCUGGCGUCGGUACUGCCGUUCAUGGGCGGCGAUGACCCGCUUUUUUACCGUAGCGCUGUUCUCACCCUUUGAGGCGUGUUGGCUAAGAAUCCCGGGCGGAGGAAGCGGUAUCUCAAGCGAAAGGUCAAAACGAUCAAGAAACGGGCCUGACAACCUAUUAAGGUAACGUAGUGUCUGUUCUGGCGUGCAGCGAUUAUGGUUUCCCUGAUAAUGUCCGGUCGGGCUGGGAUUCAUUGCGGCGAUUAACUGGAACCUGGCAGGGUACGUUAUUUUCGCUCUGGUACGGGAUAAAUGAAUUUGACCGGAUUCUAUAGGUUCACGUAGCGCAUCCAGUGUGCGUCGUUCAAAUUCAGGCAAUUCAUCAAGGAACAAAAUUCCGUUGUGCGCCAGCGAUAUCUCCCCCGGGGCGGGUAUUGCGCCGCCGCCGACCAUAGCAGUAAGUGAGGCGCUAUGAUGAGGUGAGCGAAAGGGACGUUGCUGCCAUCGUUUUUGUACCGUAUCGGCAUUAACCAGACUGAGGAUCGCGGCGCUUUCCAACGCCUCUUCAUUGCUUAAUGGUGGAAGAAUCCCGCUCAGUCGACUGGCCAGCAUGGUUUUACCCGUACCCGGCGGGCCGAUCAAUAGCAGAUUAUGUCCCCCUGCCGCUGUAAUCUCCAGGCCGCGUUUACCCUGCUCCUGACCGAUCACAUCGCGAAGAUCGGCAGUUGCGGUAGGCGAUGCCAUAUCCUGAGCUAAAGGUCUUUCCAGGGCGUGUUUCCCUUCCAGAAAGGCGCAGACGGUUUGUAGAUGAUCGGCGAUAAAACAUCCUUCUUUGCUGAUAAGCCCAACCUCCGCCGCGUUCUCUGUUGCGACGAUAAUAUUUCUGCCGGCCCUGAUGGCUUCCGUUGCACUUGAUAUUGCGCCAGGAACGCCGCGUAAUGCGCCUGUAAGCGCUAACUCACCCACCAGCUCAUAUGCCUCAAGAUUCGACGCUGUAAGCUGCUCAGACGCGGCCAGAAGCGCAACAGCAAUAGGCAGGUCAUACCUUCCGCCCUCUUUCGGUAGAUCGGCUGGAGCAAGGUUAAUGGUUAUUUUUUUAGCCGGAAAUUCAUAUCCGCUAUUAAUAAUCGCACUACGUACCCGGUCACGCGCCUCUUUUACCGUGGUUUCCGGUAGGCCAACCAUGGUUAAUCCCGGUAAUCCAUUACUGAUAUGCACCUCUAUAGUGAUAGGCGGCGCAUUGACGCCAAGUGCGGCGCGAGUAUGAACAAUCGCCAGUGACAUAAUCCCUCCUGUUACGUGGAUUAUGCGGAAUAGAAGAGAAAAUCGAAUUACUGACUUUUUGUUUUUUAGCGGCUGAUUCCCGAAUUUUGGCGUCAUUUUCAGGUAAGAAACAUCAAACUGGGAGAACGCUCGCAGAAGCGAAAAGAAGGAAAACAGGGUGUAGAGUGC